CUCUUCAUCUGAUAACAAAAAAUCAAAAAAAUAUACGAAAAUUUCUGUUACUUCUUUCAAUUUCGGUUUCUGGUGUUCAAACCGGGGAGUUCGAGUCCGAGCAUUUUGGGUUCCGAUCGGUGGUUCUGUGUCGCCUCGGAUUCUCAUCGCUGCAUUUGCUAUUCCAGGUGUGGAUCCAUGUACCAGGACUCGAGCAUGACAGAUACCCUAGGACCACUGCCUUCAGGAGCUGCUUGAGGAGGCUUUUUUUUUAUGUUUUUGAGUCUAUUGUUCAUGUUUUACUUCCUAGUCCUGUACAGUAGUAUUCAGUAGUGUCAGAGUUGUCAUAGUAUAGUUUAGUUUGUUGAGUCUCUCAUUAUCUUACUUCCUGUUUUGUAUUUGAAAAUCAAAAAAAAUUAUAAAUGAAAAAUCCAAAAAGAUUUUUGUUUCUUAA
Molecule: non-coding RNA, 433 nt
Organism: Nicotiana tabacum (common tobacco)
Lineage: Eukaryota; Viridiplantae; Streptophyta; Magnoliopsida; Solanales; Solanaceae
Source: RefSeq, a predicted model, not a curated record